RNAcentral lists this ribosomal RNA (439 nucleotides) under uncultured bacterium. RNAcentral describes it as "bacterial SSU rRNA". It matches the Rfam family "Bacterial small subunit ribosomal RNA", at positions 339 to 794 of the family's 1533-position model. The record is from RNAcentral.
AUACGGGAGGCAGCAGUGGGGAAUCUUGCGCAAUGGGCGAAAGCCUGACGCAGCAACGCCGCGUGCGGGAUGAAGGCCUUCGGGUUGUAAACCGCUUUCAGGAGGGACGAAAUUGACGGUACCUCCAGAAGAAGCCCCGGCCAACUACGUGCCAGCAGCCGCGGUAACACGUAGGGGGCAAGCGUUGUCCGGAUUUAUUGGGCGUAAAGAGCUCGUAGGCGGCUUAGUAAGUCGGGUGUGAAACCUCCAGGCUCAACCUGGAGACGCCACCCGAUACUGCUGUGGCUAGAGUCCGGUAGGGGAGCGUGGAAUUCCUGGUGUAGCGGUGAAAUGCGCAGAUAUCAGGAGGAACACCAGCGGCGAAGGCGGCGCUCUGGGCCGGUACUGACGCUGAGGAGCGAAAGCGUGGGGAGCAAACAGGAUUAGAUACCCUGGUAGA